UGUGAGUUUAACACUUCAUGACUGAGAGCUGUCCUUCAUGACAACAGAACCCACAACAACCAUGACUUUUAUCACCAUCUUCAUCUGGAUAUUUGCCCUCUGUCUCCAAGAAUCCAGAGGCCAGGUCACUGUAACUCAGACCCCUGCAGUGAAAGCUGUUCUCCCAGGACAGACAGUCUCUCUGAACUGUAAAACCAGCAGUGAUGUCUAUAACAAUAACGUUCUAGACUGGUAUCAACAGAAACCUGGAGGAGCUCCUAAACUCCUUAUUUACCAAGCUACAACACUUCAGUCUGGGACUCCAUCUAGAUUCAGUGGUAGUGGAACUCAUAGUGACUUCACUCUGACCAUCAGUGGAGUCCAGGCUGAAGAUGCAGGAGAUUACUACUGUCAGAGUUUCCACUACCCCAACAGUGUCUUGGUGUUCACACAGUGAUACAGAGCCGUACAAAAACCUCCCUCAGUCAGACUGCACAGUGACUGUACUGCUACAGCUGGGACCUACUGCAGGUGCUGAGGGGGAAGAGACAGUGACAUGGAACACUAGAUGAGGUCAACUGUGACAUGUGACAAUAUGGUUAGAAAGCAAUCGUUCAGUUCACAUGACCAUCAUCAUCAUCAUUAACAUCAUCAUCAUGGUUUUAACUUGUUAUAUUUGUCAUGGCCUUUAAGUGUGUAUAACAUUUAUUUGAAGUUUUGAAACACAUUACCUGUCAAUAUGUAAAGCAAGAUCUACAGAUGUAAAACAAAAGGUGUUCUGACCUCAACAUUACUUCAAAGUUACAAUCACUUCUGCCCCCCAAAACAAGUCCCAAAAUGGACCUCAACCAAAUGUCUGAUUUAAAUUGUGAUCUUCUACCGUUAUAUUAACUGUUUUCAUGAGCAGGUUACUGACUGUUAGAUCUGUGAAUGAGACAUGAUGCUGGAUUCAAACAUGAGACACAUGUACACUACAUACACUAUCUAUGUAAAGUAUAAUAUCCAUUUUAUCUGUCAUUAAUUACAUGGUAGCAUAUCUGUUAUGAGUCCCUCCCUGAAUCCACCAUAGAGGUUAAAACCAGUCCACUCCCUCACAUCUGGCCCAGUCCAGGGUAUUACAGGCAGUGAAACUGUUCAACUACUAGACUGGUAUCUGUGGGAGUGAAACUGAGAUUUACAUAGACAGGGCUGGGUGGUUCUGCUUGUCCCAGAAUAGAGCAGCA
This is a non-coding RNA of Coregonus clupeaformis (lake whitefish), 1202 nucleotides long. Lineage: Eukaryota; Metazoa; Chordata; Actinopteri; Salmoniformes; Salmonidae. The record is from the annotation of a RefSeq genome assembly.